GGAACCUCCUCAAGAGCGGGUGGAGAUCCCUUUUCCAUUGCCGAAGAUUGAGUUGAAAAAUGAUCCCAAAAUCUUGGAAUUUGAAAUUGGAAAUAGUUUUCAAAUUAGUGAAGAUAUUGUGAACGUGAUAUUUAAAGGACAUGCAUGCGAUAAGGAUGAUUUAAAUUGAAUGAAUCAUCACAAUUUGACAGCUAAUAUUGAUGAUGCCUUAAUUAUGUCAAAGGUGGAAAGUCACGAGACAAGUAAGCUUGUGUUGUAGGAGCCCAUUGGUUAAUGAGACUGAGAGUCAUCAUCCACUGAAGCCCAUCUUGGCGGUUGUAAUUUUAACACU
This 331-nucleotide long non-coding RNA is filed under the name Helianthus annuus (common sunflower). RNAcentral describes it as "sRNA HanXRQr2_Chr07g0280901". The record is from RNAcentral. Lineage: Eukaryota; Viridiplantae; Streptophyta; Magnoliopsida; Asterales; Asteraceae.